Molecule: non-coding RNA, 21 nt
Filed under: Caenorhabditis elegans
Lineage: Eukaryota; Metazoa; Nematoda; Chromadorea; Rhabditida; Rhabditidae
Source: RNAcentral
UGAGACUGCCGAAACAACUCA